This 188-nucleotide signal recognition particle RNA is filed under the name Chlorocebus sabaeus (green monkey). RNAcentral describes it as "Metazoan signal recognition particle RNA". It matches the Rfam family "Metazoan signal recognition particle RNA". From Rfam's summary of the family: The signal recognition particle (SRP) is a universally conserved ribonucleoprotein. It is involved in the co-translational targeting of proteins to membranes. Lineage: Eukaryota; Metazoa; Chordata; Mammalia; Primates; Cercopithecidae. The record is from Rfam by way of RNAcentral.
GCCGGGCGCGGUGGCUCAAGCCUGUAAUCCCAGCACUCUGGGAGGCUGAGGCAGGUGGAUCACCUGAGGUCGGGAGUUCGAGACCAGCCUGACCAACAUGGUGAAACCCCAUCUCUACUNGAUGGGGUUUCACCAUGUUGGUCAGGCUGGUCUCGAACUCCCGACCUCAGGUGAUCCACCUGCCUCAG